RNAcentral lists this ribosomal RNA (253 nucleotides) under uncultured bacterium. Its description in RNAcentral is "partial 16S ribosomal RNA". It matches the Rfam family "Bacterial small subunit ribosomal RNA", at positions 524 to 776 of the family's 1533-position model. The record is from RNAcentral.
UACAGAGGGGGCAAGCGUUGUUCGGAAUUACUGGGCGUAAAGGGCGCGUAGGCGGCCUGCUAAGUCGAACGUGAAAUCCCCGGGCUUAACCCGGGAACUGCGUCCGAUACUGGCAGGCUUGAAUCCGGGAGAGGGAUGCGGAAUUCCAGGUGUAGCGGUGAAAUGCGUAGAUAUCUGGAGGAACACCGGUGGCGAAGGCGGCAUCCUGGACCGGUAUUGACGCUGAGGCGCGAAAGCCAGGGGAGCAGACGGG